AUUGAACGCUGGCGGCAGGCCUAACACAUGCAAGUCGAGCGGAUGAAGGGAGCUUGCUCCUGGAUUCAGCGGCGGACGGGUGAGUAAUGCCUAGGAAUCUGCCUGGUAGUGGGGGAUAACGUCCGGAAACGGGCGCUAAUACCGCAUACGUCCUGAGGGAGAAAGUGGGGGAUCUUCGGACCUCACGCUAUCAGAUGAGCCUAGGUCGGAUUAGCUAGUUGGUGGGGUAAAGGCCUACCAAGGCGACAAUCCGUAACUGGUCUGAGGGGAUGAUCAGUCACCUUGCAAAUAGAACGCGUCCCAGCCACGAACGGGAGGCGCAGAGGGGAAUAUUGGACAAUGGGCGAAAGCCUGAUCCAGCCAUGCCGCGUGUGUGAAGAAGGUCUUCGGAUUGUAAAGCACUUUAAGUUGGGAGGAAGGGCAGUAAGUUAAUACCUUGCUGUUUUGACGUUACCAACAGAAUAAGCACCGGCUAACUUCGUG
Molecule: ribosomal RNA, 483 nt
Filed under: uncultured bacterium
Lineage: Bacteria
Description: partial 16S ribosomal RNA
Rfam family: Bacterial small subunit ribosomal RNA
Source: RNAcentral